UGGUGGCGAUAGCGAAGAGGUCACACCCGUUCCCAUACCGAACACGGAAGUUAAGCUCUUCAGCGCCGAUGGUAGUUGGGGGUUUCCCCCUGUGAGAGUAGGACGCCGCC
This 110-nucleotide ribosomal RNA is filed under the name Bacillus altitudinis. Lineage: Bacteria; Bacillati; Bacillota; Bacilli; Caryophanales; Bacillaceae. The record is from RNAcentral. RNAcentral also lists the same sequence under 1 other name.